RNAcentral lists this unclassified non-coding RNA (342 nucleotides) under soil metagenome. RNAcentral's name for it is "partial contains 5.8S ribosomal RNA, internal transcribed spacer 2, and large subunit ribosomal RNA". The stretch from base 1 to 120 matches the Rfam family "5.8S ribosomal RNA", at positions 35 to 154 of the family's 154-position model. The record is from RNAcentral.
GAUGAAGAACGCAGCGAAAUGCGAUAAGUAAUGUGAAUUGCAGAAUCCAGUGAAUCAUCGAAUCUUUGAACGCACAUUGCGCCCGCCAGCAUUCUGGCGGGCAUGCCUGUUCGAGCGUCAUUUCAACCCUCGACCUCCCUUUGGGGAAGUCGGCGUUGGGGACCGGCAGCACACCGCCGGCCCUGAAAUGGAGUGGCGGCCCGUCCGCGGCGACCUCUGCGUAGUAAACCAACUCGCACCGGAACCCCGACGUGGCCACGCCGUAAAACACCCAACUUCUGAACGUUGACCUCGAAUCAGGUAGGACUACCCGCUGAACUUAAGCAUACCAUAAGCGGAGGA